Molecule: long non-coding RNA, 5627 nt
Organism: Tympanuchus pallidicinctus (lesser prairie-chicken)
Lineage: Eukaryota; Metazoa; Chordata; Aves; Galliformes; Phasianidae
Exons: 2
Source: RefSeq, a predicted model, not a curated record
GGUGGGAUUUAUUAGCAGCGGCUAAAUUCGUCGGGAUUACUAUUAGGCCGAGAGCUUCUCAAUGGGCACGAUCCCUGGGCGAGCGGUGCGGUGGCGGGGAGGCGCUGGAAAGCUCCUUUUCUGUAGAUGGGCAAAGGGGCGUCCGGUGGGAGCCAGGGGAGGCAGGCAGGGCACAGCUGGCUGCGGGUGCUUCACCUCGGCACAGGCUGUAACCUCCAUUCCGAGCACGCAGCUCCUGGCAGCGUCGCUCAUACCAAAGCCUUGACUCAGAGUUAUCUGCAUGCUGGGUAAUGAGCAGCGUCACCAGAGGAAUGUGCAGAGAAAGCAGCCAUGCUGCUGCAAGCCUCCUCUCGUUCCUCGGGCGAACUGCCGAUUUAGCAGCCUGCCUCUGCGUGACCGGUUGGAGGUGGGGGCUUCAGUCUGGGGGGUGGCCCGAGUGCACUUUGAAGCCAAAACAGGGUUUUGCCCUUCCGUGAGUAAGCGCUUUGUAUGCAAGGCCGGACAGGACUUUGCUAACCUUAAUUGAGGACUGCGCCAAGUAAAGGGCGAAGUCACUCCUCCAGUCGCUGGGUGAGUUUAUCCAUGUUCCACAUGGGCAGGCUGCAGCGCUCAGCCAACUCACACAGCAGAUGCCUAUCUGAGGAAGGGGGGGAGUGCCUGACUGCUGCUCUCCCUUCCACGGGAUUAAAAGCGAGUUGUAAUAAUGGCUGCGUACGGCUGAACUCAAAAGCACUUGCACCACGCAGGCAUUUGGGAACAACAGCUUCCAGAGCCAGGCGCUCUCUAUAGCCUGUGUCCUUCGCUCUGAUGGCUCUGAGGCUCUGGGCUGUUGCUGUUCUUGCUGAUGCAACACAGCGAGGGCUGGGGUGAAGGAGAGUGCAUACCUGUGUGUCAGAGGUAGGAGCUCCCCUUUGGCGAUGAUGGAAAGCACAGCAAAUUCAAAUCAAAGAUGAGAGGGGGUUGCUUUGAAUUGCUGUACUCCAGAUGUAUCUGAGGCAAUCUCCCUCUUCACAGCACACAUCGCUGUAGCAAGAGCAAAGAUCACAGCGUAGCCCAGGUUUUCAUUUGAACAUGUCCAGGCUCGCGCACAGUUGAGGUAAGGACAAUGUGCUUUUGUAGAUUUGAUUUGUGUCAGAGCUAGGGGCAGAACCAGGGAGGGAGGGAGAAGCCUGAAUAUCUGGUCUGCUAGUGAAAAGUACAGGCCUCUGAGUAAGACAAUGCGGCUCAUCUGAGUUAGCUGGAUGUGCUAGACUUUCUCCUAGAACUCUCUUCCCCAGCAUCUGUAACUUAUUCCUGUAAAAUGAAAAAAGAAUGCAUAAAAUAUCUAGGUUUAAAGCAUUUGAAAGAGCUCUCACCUUCCUGCAGGAGUAAAGUUUUGAAUAUUUUCUAUGACUUGCUCAGUGUUGUUGAUGUGUUUUACUGUUACAUGCAAAGAUAAUUUCUCCACAAAGAAUUCAGACUGCACUGAUAAGAAAGGCCAGUUGGUGCAUCUAUUUUAUCCCACCUCCUUCAGUGAAAGAUUAUUUCUAGUAUCUUAUCAGAAAGAAGCAGCCUUUCAAACGCCGUACCUUAGUAAGUAUGCACACUCCAUUUUGGCAAACAUUUGUUGUGGUUUUGAGAGGUUGUUCUCCCCUCCUCCUCCUGCUUGCUUUCAGCUCUUCUCCAGCUCAUCCAGCUACGCUCACUCAGCUGUGCUCAUUGCGUCACUCGUGCUGGAAGGGAGGCAGCAAGAGGUGGAACUGUCAGGAUGGCAUCAGUUGGGGAUCCACGAACAUAGAGUCGUGUUGUGCUAACAUGGCCCUGCAACCUGUGGUAGAUUCAUGAGUCAGCAUCCUGGAUAGGUGCCUUGUGGGACAGCUAGUUAGCUGGAUCAGGAAACGAUGCAGAAAUUAUCCUGCUUUUGUGCUCCUGUUUUUCCUCAUACUAGAAGAGACAACAGCACUUCUUGAGAACUGCACUGCACAUGCUUAGGACAAAGAGCAGCUCCUUUUGCCUUUUUUGCAUGAUUAGUUGCAGCUCUCUGCCUAGAUCUUCCUUGUUCUGUUGAUAUGAUUUUCACAGCAGUGUGUUGUGCAUAUUUUGCAAGUUCCAGCUUGAAACUUCCUCCUAGCAGAAGGCUGUGUCAUUUAAAGGAACCCCACCCUGCUCUCCCUUGAAGAUGUGCAAUCCCAGGCUAUGUCUGAGCAUGCCUGGGGAGGCAGGUGCAGCCCGGCUGGAUCCUCAAGAUGACCUCCAAAUAAACGCUGCUUAAACAAAUUGGACUAAUAAGAACAUUCAAAAUUCAAGUAAUAAUCAAGACAGUUUCUGCUCUGUAGUCUUCACUUCGUGCUUCUCCCAUUCCCUCUUCCUCGGAUUUGUAGCCCAGGAUAUAUGCCACAGCCACGUUGCUAUGGAAAUUAAUUACAACAUAACUUCAAAGAACAGAGGAGUGCCCAGAACGGUGAUCGGUUCCGGCUCCAGCAGCAGACCCUGUGGAUGUCCCUCCAUCUCAUCUCUGAGAACAGAAUUAGUGAUGUUCCCUGGCUGUUUGGUUGCUACAAAUGAGCACAUUCCCCCUGAAUGCAAGCGAGCCCAGAUGCAGUGUCUGCACUCCUGGAGUCAGUCUCAGCAUGGCCAGAGCAAGAGCCAAACAGCUCCACGAUUUGUGCUGCACACAUAGGCCCCUCUCAGUGGGGAGCUGCUCCGCACUGCGAUUCUCACCCCCUGCACUGGCAGCAGUGUCCAGACACGCAGACAAACUUUUGAGGGUGACUGUUUUUAGCUCCAUCAGUGCAGGGCUAAGCCUGCCCAAACUGCCUUCUACCAGCCCAGCAACAGUCCCAGCCCACGUGUCAGCAAAUGCUAUGGGAAUCUCUUCUGCUGAGGUGAAGGCUGCAGUUCCUGGUGCUUUUGUUGACUCUGCAGGAGGAGUGUCUGGUCUGCUGCUGUGGGGUUUUUUCUGUUUUUUUUUUUUCUUUUUUUUUUCCCCACCAGCAAACAAACAGCACCUCCAUCUUUCCUCCUCACAGCAGAAGAUUCCAUUGAGAUAUAUCUAACUAUUGGUUUUGUCAUUAUCUUUUAUGUAUCUGCCCCAGUUUUCUCUUACAAAUUCAGUCCGUUUGCCUGUCAGUGUGCUUUGUGGUGCACAAGCUUCUGGUUUACUUUCCCCAAGAAUUAUUCUCUUUCAGCAUUCCAAAUUAUUUGAGACAGCAGUUCAUCCUCCUUUGAGCACCUGGCUAGAGGGGGAUGACCUGAAGGGUCCUGUCUGCUACAACAAGACAAACCGCACAAGCUUACCUAUUCCAUUUGCUGCCACUACUAAGUCCUUUCUGUAAUUCCUCUGACUCCUUUCUUGCUGGGCUUGAUAAUCUCACAGAGCUGGUUUACUCCAUGUCUACAGGUCCUUAAAGGGGCAGGUUAGACUUAGCACUGUUUGCAAAUAAUCCAGGAAGAUUUGUAUAUGGUAUGGAAGCGUACAAUCUCCUACAAAAACACUUUUUUCCUGUUUAGAAAUUUGCGAGGUUAAAGUAGAUACGUGUGAAGAACAAACUCUGAAAGGCUCUGAGUGCUCUCCGCAUGUAGUUGUUUAAGUGGAAGCGUGGUAGAUGUUAGGAUUAGCGUGAAGUACACCAUACCUGGGACGGAGGAACCACUGUGAUGUUUUACUUCCGCAGCUUGAAAUACAUAUUACUUACAGAUGUGCUUACAUUCUUAGCCCUUAUGGCUUUCCAGUGCCUCUUGACAAACUCCUGAGCUUACAGAGGUGGUGCUGACUAGCUGCAGUAUUUCUUUUCCUAACAUAAAUAAAGCUGUUGAGUGUGGCAAGGGAUAGUUUCUGUCGGGAGAGAUCAAGAAAUGGAAAUGUUCCUCUUCUGGGAUGUGUGUCAAGGUGUUCCACAGACCCUUAGCUUAAAAUAGAGGAUGAAGUAAGAACAAAUGCCAGAGGCAAAGGCAAGAAAGGAAAAGUAGGCAAGCUCAAUCCUUCAGCAGGUGGGCAGGAAAAUGUGAGUGAGACAUGCAGACUUUUCUGGUUUUAAAUGCUUGAGGGCUGCUCAGAAACUGUUGUGAUGGGGCCAUUUAUAAAGCCGGGCAGGCAAACAAGAGCCAAAUGGUUGCAUAGUUAUGAGCAGGAAAACUUUCCAGAGCAGCAAAGGCUGGGAAUAACAUAAAUAAGGUAGUUGGGCAAUAGGUCACAGGGUGAAGAGUCCCUCGUAACCGGUUCAUCCAUGAGUAAGAAAUAAUGAGAAGUUCGUAAGUGAGAGACAGCAGAUAAUCAAAGGCAAGGUCGGCACAAGAAUAUGGCUCUUGAAUGUUGACUUUGCAAAUAUCUCAGUGGUCAUUAUUGCUAUUUUUCUUAUCAGCCAAAGGUGUGCAAUGUGGCAGGCAGUCUUUUUCAAAAUGCUUACCAUUUAAAAAAGCAAAGGAGAAAGAACAAAAGGAGAUGUAGAAAAGUUGGAAAGUACUGUUUGAGCAUGAGAACACAAAACAGUAGGUCUUGACACACAGCUGGUGAGAAACGAAAGGAGCCAGGGAGUAACAGGUCAUAUUUAUGGCAUACGCAUUUCUCACACUGAGAAAUUCCUCAGUACUUUGUCUAGUUUGAAAGAAACGCGUCCAGCUAUUUGGGGGAAGACCUGGCAGUCACUGGGAGGCCUACUGGAAGCUACGUCUGUGCAAAUCAGCACUUUGGGUCGGAAAGCCCACCCCAGAGUGAGUAACGAGUGGAAGCGCCUCGAGCGCGAUGCAGAGCUUUCUGACACCCUUACAGGAACGGAAGGAAUGUCCUUGUCCUGGUGAGCCACUCUCAGAAAUGGAAAUGAUCCAAAUCAAGAGGUUUGGAGGUAAGCUCGUGAGAACAGUUAGAGACGUGCAAAAACAUCUCUGCACCACAGCAGAAGUAGCUACUGUUUAUUUAUUCCGUGGCUAAAGCACCUUAGUAUGCGUAAGGCUUUGUAGGCAAAUGGGGCAGGUCUGUGCCUGAGGAGUUUUGCCUUCUGAGCAAGACAGAGCGCAACAAAGGGAGGCACAGCGAGGAAGUGUGUUGGUACGUGUGUGAGCGGCGCGUCCGUGAGAGGCGGCAGCCACCGCCAGCAGAGGUCAGAGGCAGGGGUGUCACCAGGGCCCCCCCACGGCCGUCAGCUCGCCGUGAGCAUCCGCCGUGCUGCCGUGCGGAGGGAAGCUCGCGUUCCAUUACCCGCAGGGUGUGACGCGUCUGCUCACGGCUACAGUCCUGGAGGAGCAGCCUCCAGCCUCUGCAGACCGCGUCCCACCGGCUUCUUUUACUGCAAUAGCAGCCUCUUUUAGGAGCAAACUGCGUGCUUGUAAGCACAGAAAAGCAGCCGCAUUGCACAGGCAGCAGUGGCAAAAAAUUAAUCGUUUGAAUUCAAAAGUGAAUUUGGGGGGCUUCUGUGUUGCAGUGCUUUAAUACCCAUGCACUCAGAGUGUGUAAAUUCAUUUGUGCGAAUGACUUUGAAGCUGGAUUCUAAACGUAAAAAGAAGGUGGAGCUGCACGUUUUGCUUGUUGCAAAACUCAGUUAGCUCCCAAACGUGGCACCAAGCCAGUAUCAGUGGUGUGUGUGAUCAGCCAGCACCUCAGUGCGACUGCAGGCGUCCAUCAGACAGACCUGUCGUUUUGAGUGAUCAAAACC